Molecule: ribosomal RNA, 317 nt
Filed under: uncultured eukaryote
Lineage: Eukaryota
Description: partial 18S ribosomal RNA
Rfam family: Eukaryotic small subunit ribosomal RNA
Source: RNAcentral
CCCUUAGAUAUUCUGGGCCGCACGCGCGCUACACUGAUCAGUGCAACAAGCAUCCGUCCUUGGCCGACAGGCCCGGGCAAUCUUUGAACGCUGAUCGUGAUGGGGAUAGACUUUUGCAAUUUUUGGUCUUCAACGAGGAAUUCCUAGUAAACGCAAGUCAUCAACUUGCAUUGAUUACGUCCCUGCCCUUUGUACACACCGCCCGUCGCACCUACCGAUUGAAUGGUCCGGUGAAGCCUCCGGAUUGGCGUGCACCCUCGGGUGCUGCCGAGAAGUUGGCUAAACCUUACCAUUUAGAGGAAGGUGAAGUCGUAACA